CGGAGGAUCCAAGCGUUAUCCGGAAUCAUGGGUUUAGAGGGUCCGUAGGCGGUUUGAUAAGUCAGUGGUGAAAGCCCAUCGCUCAACGAUGGAACGGCCAUUGAUACUGUCAGACUUGAAUUACUGGGAAGUAACUAGAAUAUGUAGUGUAGCGGUGAAAUGCUUAGAUAUUACAUGGAAUACCAAUUGCGAAGGCAGGUUACUACCAGUGGAUUGACGCUGAUGGACGAAAGCGUGGGGAGCGAACAGGAUUAGAUACCCUGGUAGUCCACGCCGUAAACGAUGGAUACUAGCUGUUCGGAGCAAUCUGUAGUGGCUAAGCGAAAGUGAUAAGUAUCCCACCUGGGGAGUACGUUCGCAAGAAUG
This 366-nucleotide ribosomal RNA is filed under the name uncultured organism. RNAcentral's name for it is "bacterial SSU rRNA". It matches the Rfam family "Bacterial small subunit ribosomal RNA", at positions 526 to 896 of the family's 1533-position model. The record is from RNAcentral.